UUUGGUUUCACAUCUUUAACUGUGAUGAACUCCACAGGACAGAAAAGGAAGGGUCUAUAUUCAACAUGAUAUCUACAGUCUUCUUGAUCUAUUUCUUUCAGCUCAUAGCGAAGUAUGGAGUUUCUAGCACCUACACGGUCCAGCAAACACCUCCUUCCAUCAUUAAGAAAGUUGGUCAAUCUGUAUCCAGUGAGAUCCACUGUUCACAUGAGGUGUCGUCUUUUAAUCGGAUUCUCUGGUACAAACAAGAUGAACACAGAGCUCUAAAGUUCCUCGGAUACCUAAAUGUAAACUCACCAAUCCCCGAGGAUGAUGUGAAAGGGAAAAUCAACUUUGAUGGAAAUGCCAGAAAACAUUCAAACCUGACCAUUUCUAAUGUGUCAGUGACUGACAGUGCUGUGUAUUUCUGUGCUGCCAGCACGGUGUUUCCUAAUAAAGAGGUGGGGUACACACUGGACAGGUUGUCAUGCUGUGGCAGAGCUAACAUAGAGACACAGAGGCAUCAUGAACUGCAGGGGGAUGUCAAGUACCACAAAUACAACUGUCAGUGGUGA
This is a non-coding RNA of Oreochromis aureus, 554 nucleotides long. The record is from the annotation of a RefSeq genome assembly. NCBI's taxonomy places the organism in Eukaryota, Metazoa, Chordata, Actinopteri, Cichliformes, Cichlidae.